This 92-nucleotide microRNA precursor is filed under the name Marmota monax (woodchuck). Lineage: Eukaryota; Metazoa; Chordata; Mammalia; Rodentia; Sciuridae. The record is from RNAcentral.
CAGAGUCUUAUAUAUUACCUACCCUUCAAACUACUAGCCAAAAUAUGCUAGUAGUUUGAAGGGUAGGUAAUAUAUAAGACUCUGAAGAUUUG